This 255-nucleotide ribosomal RNA is filed under the name uncultured bacterium. Its description in RNAcentral is "partial 16S ribosomal RNA". It matches the Rfam family "Bacterial small subunit ribosomal RNA", at positions 524 to 776 of the family's 1533-position model. The record is from RNAcentral.
UACGUAGGGUGCGAGCGUUGUCCGGAAUUAUUGGGCGUAAAGAGCUUGUAGGUGGUUUGUCGCGUCUGCUGUGAAAAUCCGAGGCUCAACCUCGGACUUGCAGUGGGUACGGGCAGACUAGAGUGUGGUAGGGGGAGACUGGAAUUCCUGGUGUAGCGGUGGAAUGCGCAGAUAUCAGGAGGAACACCGAUGGCGAAGGCAGGUCUCUGGGCCAUUACUGACACUGAGAAGCGAAAGCCAUGGGGAGCGAACAGG